GAGGCGGCGGAGGAGAGCUCCUCGCCCCCUCCCUGUCUCGGAGGAGGAGGAGGGUGGGGGGUGGCGGCGGUGCCGGGGUGCUGCGUGGCUCCGAGCCCCGCUAACUGUGUGCGUGUCUGUCUCUCUCUCUCCAUGCCGGGGGAUCGCUCUUAAAAUACGCCCGAUACAAUGCACCAGCCUGACUCAGCCGCAGACAUUAGUGCUAGGAAGAUGGCGCACCCGGCAAUGUUUCCUAGAAGGGGCAGCAGCAGUAGCAGCGGCAGCAGCUGCGUUACUGCUCCCACUGCACCAGGUACCGGCGUCGGGAGCUCUGCCCUCUCCGCCGAGGAUUACCAGCCGCCCCUGCUGGUCCAGCCGCCGCCUCCAUCUCCUGCAGCAUCCUCAUCGACGGGCCCGCAGCCGACACCCCCUCCUCCACAAAGCCUGAACCUCCUCUCGCAGUCUCAGCUCCAGCCGCAGCCUCUCGCGCAGACUGGAGCUCAGAUGAAAAAGAAAAGUGGCUUCCAGAUUACCAGCGUGACCCCUGCUCAAAUAUCUGCCAGUAUGAGCUCUAAUAACAGCAUAGCCGAAGAUACAGAAAGCUACGAUGACCUGGAUGAGUCUCACACGGAAGACCUGUCUUCUUCAGAAAUCUUGGAUGUUUCUUUAUCCAGGGCCACUGACUUGGGUGAACCUGAGAGGAGCUCCUCUGAAGAGACUUUAAAUAACUUCCAAGAGGCAGAGACUCCCGGGGCCGUUUCUCCCAACCAGCCUCAUCUUCCUCAGCAGCACCCUUCUCUGCCUCAUCAUCCUCAGCAGAGCGUUGUGAUCAACGGAAGCGUUCAUCCCCAUCACAUCCAUCACCACCAUCAUCUUCACCACCACCAUCAUGGACACCAUCACCCAUCGCAUCCCGGGGUGGGCAGCGCCCCAGUUUCUGGAGGACCACCACCCAGCCCAUCGUUUAGAAAGCUCUCAACAACUGGAAGCUCUGACAAUGUUAUAUCAGCCGCACCGGGUUCUGCUGCAUCAUCCACUGGUUCCUCUGCAUCUGUCGUGUCUAAUAUCCGCACUACGAGUACUCCUGGCAAUCUAGGUGUAAGUUCUGCCACUGGAACUAGUACCUUGAAUAACAUGGGUGGAGGUAGUUCUAGCGUGGCAAGCAACGUGCUUGGUACUAUGAAUUUAAGCAACAUCACAAGUGCUGGUAAUGUAAAUGCUUUGUCUGGAACUAGUGGCAAUGUUAAUGUGAAUAUCUUGAGUGGUGUUGGCAAUGGUACGAGUGCUUCCUCUAGUGUCGUUAACAAUGUUACUAAUCCGAGUGCAGGAGUGGCCGCGGGAUCCAGCCAGCAGCAGCCCGCAUCUGGCACCUCAAGGUUUAGAGUUGUAAAAUUAGAUUCUAGUUCUGAACCUUUCAAAAAAGGUAGAUGGACAUGCACUGAGUUCUAUGAUAAAGAAAACACUGUUGCAGCUUCAGAAGGAGUAGCAGUAAACAAAGCAGUAGAGACGAUAAAACAAAACCCGCUUGAAGCGACUUCUGAAAGGGAGAGCACCAGUGGGAGUUCUGUUAGCAGCAAUGUAAGCACACUGAGUCACUAUACAGAAAGUGUGGGAAGUGGAGAAAUGGGAGCACCUCCUGUGGUACAGCAGCAAGCGUUUCAAGGUGUGGGUCCUCAGCAGAUGGAUUUUAGCAGCGCUGCUCCUCCAGCGAUUCCAGCAUCUAGUAUACCACAGAGUGUUUCCCAAUCACAGCUUGCACAAGUCCAGCUGCAUUCUCAAGAGAUAAACUAUCCACAGCAGAAGCCAGGGGUCCAACCUCCUGCACAGGCCAGUCUAACCACUGUUACUGGGGUUCAGCCAGCCCCGGUUAAUCUACUAGGUGUAUCCCCAGCUCUGGGCCACCAGCAGCCUGCCAUUCAAAGUAUGGCUCAACAGCAGUUACCUUAUUCUCAGCCGGCGCAGCCUGUGCAGACUCUGCCAGUUGUACAACAGCAACAGUUGCAGUAUGGACAGCAGCAGCAGCAGCAGCAAGCGGUUCCUACGCAGAUGGCCACAGGUCACGUUAAAUCGGUGAACCAAAACUCUGUUACGGGGGCCGUGCCAGAGUACAUUCAGCAUCAGCAGAUCCUUCAGCCCCCGGCACCUGCCAUGCAGCCUAGUCCUGCGGGAGUAGGGGCAGGGCCACCGGUUCCUGUUGCCCAGGCCCCGAGCAUGCAGCCUGCAGUCCCGACGCACCCAGCCGCUGCCCCGGCUCAGCCUGUUGCACACGCCCCAGCAACGAUACCAGGUGUGGGUACCGGUGGGCAGAUGCUGAACGUUGGGCAGCAAGCGAACGUGGCCGCUGUGGUGCAGCCACCACCUGCUGCGAACCAAAUUCCACCUCCAGUUAUGCCAUCAACCGCUGCUCCUCCAUCUUCACAAGUGGUGCAGCCUGUGCAGACAGGAAUAAUGCAACAGGGAUUACAGGCUGGCGCUUCAGGCCUUCCUCAGCAAAUGGUUAUUGCUCAGCAAAACACUUUGUUACCUGUACAGCCGCAGGCACAAGCGGUGGAGUCAGUGGUGCAAGGAAUGACUGGCCAGCAGCUGCCUGCAGUUAGCCCCAUACCUUCUGCUAGUACUGUUCCUGCACCGAGUCAAGCUGGUUCGGCUGUGCCCCCUGGCAUUCCUUCUGCUUCUAUAGGCUUGGGACAGCCGCAGAACAUAGCCCAGGCUUCAGCUGUGCAGAAUGGGAAUCUGGCUCAGAGCGUUAGUCAGCCUCCUUUGGUAUCAACGAGUAUAGGUAUGCCAGUGGCACCCAGCGUGCCGCAGCAGAUACCUCUGAGCUCUACCCAGUUCCCAGCACAAUCGCUAGCCCAGCCAGUUGUAAGCCAAAUGGAAGAUGGUAGGCGCCCUACGGAACCUUCUAUUGUUGGUUUACCUCAAGCUGCCAGCGGGGAGAGCAGCGUUGGAGCAUCGGCCAUCGCUGAUGGCGGUAGCAGUAACGUACCAGCCUCGGCCUCCCUCUUCCCAUUGAAGGUGCUGCCCCUGGCGACGCCCCUCGUGGAUGGGGAGGAUGAGAGUCUUUCUGCCUCCCUAUCCUGGAAGUAUGGAGUCCCUGCCUCAGCCUACGGCUUCAUUCUUUUUCCAGCUGCCCACAAAAGUAAAGAACCAGUGUGAAAGUUUGAAGAAAGAAACCACUCAGAGGAUUGAGUCUCAGACUUCCUUUGGGGAAGGAUCUGCUUCCAGGAUUUGCUCGUCUCUUUUUCCUUGGGCAAACAGAGUUCUUGAAGCAAACAACAGGGUUGCAGGUCCUCUUUCAUGCUGAGUGAAGUCAUUUGGAACUAUGUUACGUGCAUUAUUACUUUGGUGCAUCUUAUGACUAUUCUCUCCUUCUUCAUUCCCUCCAACUUGCUUCAGGACACCUUGUAACCUUUAUACUGCUUCACAAGCCUUCGGCAGAAGAUUAUGAGAGCCAUUUAUGUUGCUGGAAGAUGACUGGGUUUGGAUCUUGGCCUUCCUUAAGCAGGAUCUCCUGACAAAAAUGGGAUUGGGAAAGAAAUGACUCCUUUUUCCAUCAUACAGAGCCACCCUAGAAACGGAAGCGUAGGCAGAACGUUACUUCUAAUGCGUGAUUCUUUAGGGAAUUUGUUUGGCUUUCCAUGGUCCUUUUGAUACGGUGUCAUAAAGAUGUUAUAUAAAAACCUGAACCUGGGAUCUUGCUGUCUGAUGAAGAUCAAAUGGGUAAAUCCAACUUGAGGAGUCUGCAGGUCUCACAGCGUGAUGAGAUCUCGCUAACUCCUGUAUAGGUGAUGCCAUGUGAAUCUGUGAAACUGGGUUCUGCUGUGGUUCAGAUUGAUACUUUUGUGAAGCCUUUUCUGCUUAUAGCCUUUUUAAAUGAUCGCCCAACGUAUUGAUGAGGAUUCUUAUGGAAAUGGUAUUUAAUUAGGCUUCUACCUCUUCAAAUUUAUUUUAAUUAAAAGAAAAAGACAAAUGUCCAUGGCUGUAUGGAAAGUAUUGGGCCUUUUGAGGUUACUUCUAUAGGAAAAAAAAGGUAUAUUGGAAGUGCUGAAGGUAGAAAAACAUAGAUUUAUCUUCAAGACUGAAAAGUUGUUAGAAAGCAGAAUGCUUUAAUUUGGUUAUUCCCCCUCAGGGAUUCUGUAGUCAAACUUGAAUUUCUUGCGAGAUCUCAAAUAAAAACCUUAUGUUUGGCCGUAGCGAACGACACAUUCGUGUCCAUCUGCUCUUGUUCUUUUCACUGUAGGAAAUUGAUUUUGAACAAUAGGACUUAGUUUUAACAUUCAAACUAGGAAAGAGGAAAGCUUAGGAGUGUGAGAAGGGCUGGCAGGAGGGUGAACUGGACCCUCUGGCAGGUAAAUAGCUCUUCUAUUUUUCAGUUUUCUGCUUCUGGCAGGUGGAGUAAAGUAGACACUCGUGCUUGAAUCCAAUUAAUUUCUUACAUCGGUUACUGUGCUAAUGCAUUUUAUAACUACUGCCUGGAUCUUUCAUUAAAUGCACCAGCGUGCUCACAUUGUUGAUUGGUCUUAACGUAGCCCUGAGGCUACCGCUUCAUGGCAGUUGUGACUUCUUAUUAUGCUGGAAUGCCUCGCAGCCUUAGUAUGUUCUAAAAAUAAUUGUUCAGAUGGUGCUGUUUAAGUACAUUCUUAUGUAGUGAGCCGUUUUCACUGGACUUUCUGAAAUUUGGCUGUCUGUCGGAUGCCUUUAAUAUCUUUUAUUUCUUUCUCCGUGAGUAUCAGACUUUGUCUUGCCGCUUCUGUAGUUAUCAAGUAAAAUGCGAAUGUUAUGACCUGGUAUUUUUAGAGAACAGUCUGAUAUAUGUGUGAAACUAUGCAACUGCAGUAACAUUUGUGCACUUGGAAGUUUAAAGAAACUGUUUUAAUGUGACAAAUGUUUCUUAUAUAAAAAAAAACACCAAACUGAAGUGUGUGUCUGUGCAUAUGGUGACUUCAAAAUUGAGUAGCUGUCAUAGGUAUGGAUCUUCGGGCAUAAAUUGCGUGCUUAACAGGAGUAAUCUGGAGGUUGUAAGCUGAAGAUCUGCGAGUCUUAGAAAUAAACACUAACAUCUGUGGCUUGAGAUCUGUGCCAGCACUUUUCUUAGUUGAAAAUACCUGUACGUUUUUGGUUUCUAGUCUGCUUCAGGUUUGAUAUGGUUUGUGCCAUCCUUAAAAGGUACGUCUCCUCAACUGCAGGUCUUGGUGGUUUUGUUCUGUAGUGUUACACGAAUUUAAGACCAUUAAACACUUGUGGAAACUAAAUACUGAUAGUAAAAGAGGAGGUACUGAGAACUUACUAAUAUUAUUGUCUCAAUUGCUGUCUCUAGGGAAACAUAAAAUGACUUCGCUCAUCUCCCCCUCUCUCCAUAGUAACAAUUAAAAAACAAAAAAGAAAGAAACAACAACCAAAAACCACAUACAGAGGAAAACUCUCCCAAAUCUGUUGUUUUUAUUAAGUCAUCAUUUUAAUACUACUUGUGUAUCAGCAUUGUUAGCGUACUGCUGUUGUGCUCUGGGCUUUGCAGCUGGCACCUUGGAUCCUUAAUAAGUUGUUUAGAGUGACAACUGCUGCCUUUGUGUUUCUUAAAUAAUAAAGAUGUCUAAAACCCA
Non-coding RNA from Coturnix japonica (Japanese quail), 5579 nucleotides. The record is from RefSeq and is a predicted model, not a curated record. Lineage: Eukaryota; Metazoa; Chordata; Aves; Galliformes; Phasianidae.